RNAcentral lists this ribosomal RNA (797 nucleotides) under uncultured archaeon. Its description in RNAcentral is "bacterial SSU rRNA". It matches the Rfam family "Archaeal small subunit ribosomal RNA", at positions 85 to 879 of the family's 1478-position model. The record is from RNAcentral.
ACGGCUCAGUAACACGUGGAUAACCUACCCAAGAGUCCGGGAUAACCCCGGGAAACUGGGGAUAAUACCGGGAUAGGUCAGACUUGCUGGAAGGCUGUUUGGCUGAAACUUCCCGGGGCUUUUGGAUGGGUCUGCGGCUGAUUAGGUUGUUGCCGGUGUAACGUACCGUCAAGCCUGUAAUCAGUACGGGUUGUGGGAGCAAGAGCCCGGAGAUGGAUUCUGAGACACGAAUCCGGGCCCUACGGGGCGCAGCAGGCGCGAAAACUCUACAAUGCAGGCAACUGCGAUAGGGGAACAUCGAGUGAUCCUCAUAUUGGGGGUCUGUCCACCCGCCUAAAAAGCGGGUGUUAGCAAGGGCCGGGCAAGACCGGUGCCAGCCGCCGCGGUAAUACCGGCGGCUCGAGUGGUGGCCGAUAUUAUUGAGUCUAAAGGGUCCGUAGCCGGCUUUGCAAGUCUCUCGGGAAAUCCAGCGGCUUAACCGUUGGUCGUCCGGGGGGUACUACAUUGCUUGGGACUGGGAGAGGUAGGAGGUACUCAGGGGGGUANGGAGUGAAAUCCUGUAAUCCUUUGGGGACCACCGGUGGCGAAGGCGUCCUACCAGAACAGGUCCGACGGUGAGGGACGAAAGCUAGGGGCACGAACCGGAUUAGAUACCCGGGUAGUCCUAGCCGUAAACGAUGCUCGCUAGGUGUCACAACAGUCGUGAACUGUUGUGGUGCCGUAGGGAAGCCGUGAAGCGAGCCACUUGGGAAGUACGACCGCAAGGUUGAAACUUAAAGGAAUUGGCGGGGGAGCAC